GACGAACGCUGGCGGCGUGCCUAAUACAUGCAAGUCGAGCGAGCGGAACUAACAGAUUUACUUCGGUAAUGACGUUAGGAAAGCGAGCGGCGGAUGGGUGAGUAACACGUGGGGAACCUGCCCCAUAGUCUGGGAUACCACUUGGAAACAGGUGCUAAUACCGGAUAAGAAAGCAGAUCGCAUGAUCAGCUUUUAAAAGGCGGCGUAAGCUGUCGCUAUGGGAUGGCCCCGCGGUGCAUUAGCUAGUUGGUAAGGUAAAGGCUUACCAAGGCGAUGAUGCAUAGCCGAGUUGAGAGACUGAUCGGCCACAUUGGGACUGAGACACGGCCCAAACUCCUACGGGAGGCAGCAGUAGGGAAUCUUCCACAAUGGACGCAAGUCUGAUGGAGCAACGCCGCGUGAGUGAAGAAGGUUUUCGGAUCGUAAAGCUCUGUUGUUGGUGAAGAAGGAUAGAGGUAGUAACUGGCCUUUAUUUGACGGUAAUCAACUAGAAAGUCACGGCUAACUACGUGCCAGCAGCCGCGGUAAUACGUAGGUGGCAAGCGUUGUCCGGAUUUAUUGGGCGUAAAGCGAGCGCAGGCGGAAGAAUAAGUCUGAUGUGAAAGCCCUCGGCUUAACCGAGGAACUGCAUCGGAAACUGUUUUUCUUGAGUGCAGAAGAGGAGAGUGGAACUCCAUGUGUAGCGGUGGAAUGCGUAGAUAUAUGGAAGAACACCAGUGGC
RNAcentral lists this ribosomal RNA (721 nucleotides) under uncultured Bacilli bacterium. Its description in RNAcentral is "bacterial SSU rRNA". It matches the Rfam family "Bacterial small subunit ribosomal RNA", at positions 28 to 716 of the family's 1533-position model. The record is from RNAcentral. Lineage: Bacteria; Bacillati; Bacillota; Bacilli.